CCCUCCAGAAUUUGAAAACUCUUGAUGAAUGAUCCAAAAGACCCAGAGAGAAUUCAAAUUAAAGAACCAGACAUGCUCAGAUGUUCCUCUGCAUCAUCUCUAUAGUGGAGACUGAAUCCUAUUAAAAUACCGGAAACACAAGCACCCGGAAGAUCAAUUUCAUCUCUGCUGAAUGGGACCAUACAAGCAAUGCCACAGGAAACAGGAAUCAUGCCAUAGAAGAACAUCGCAACAGGAUCACCCAAACCUUGGCUGGCUUCAUACUCUACACACUGACUUCUCCAAAUGGACGAGUGAACCUCUAAUAGAUCUCAAGUUGCUGUACAGAAGAUGGUCCCCUAAAACAGGAAGCAGCUGGAGCGGUCUUCAUCCCCAUUCCCCAAGAUUGACGAAUGAUCAAAAGAGAAGGGGGAUUGAAACUGAAGAUGAAGGAGUUAAAAUUUCCCUGGAUUAGGGUGAAACUGUGCCUUGUACCCA
RNAcentral lists this long non-coding RNA (477 nucleotides) under Equus asinus (donkey). RNAcentral's name for it is "lncRNA (ENSEASG00005033952.1)". The record is from RNAcentral. Lineage: Eukaryota; Metazoa; Chordata; Mammalia; Perissodactyla; Equidae.